CUCGCUCGGACUUUCAGAGAUGGAUGGGUGCCUUCGGGAACUCUGACACAGGUGCUGCAUGGCCGUCGUCAGCUCGUGUCGUGAGAUGUUGGGUUAAGUCCCGUAACGAGCGCAACCCCUAUCCCUAGUUGCUAGCAGUUCGGCUGAGAACUCUAGGGAGACUGCCGGUGACAAACCGGAGGAAGGUGGGGAUGACGUCAGGUCAUCAUGGCCCUUACGGCCAGGGCUACACACGUGCUACAAUGGUGCGCACAGAGGGCUGCAAACCCGCGAGGGGGAGCCAAUCUCACAAAACGCAUCGUAGUCCGGAUCGCAGUCUGCAACUCGACUGCGUGAAGUCGGAAUCGCUAGUAAUCGUGAAUCAGAAUGUCACGGUGAAUACGUUCCCGGGUCUUGUACACACCA
This 405-nucleotide ribosomal RNA is filed under the name uncultured bacterium. RNAcentral's name for it is "bacterial SSU rRNA". It matches the Rfam family "Bacterial small subunit ribosomal RNA", at positions 985 to 1392 of the family's 1533-position model. The record is from RNAcentral.